Molecule: microRNA, 22 nt
Filed under: Hyalella azteca
Lineage: Eukaryota; Metazoa; Arthropoda; Malacostraca; Amphipoda; Hyalellidae
Description: miR-2187
Source: RNAcentral
UAAUUAGUAUAGCCUGUUGAAA